This 1229-nucleotide ribosomal RNA is filed under the name Micrococcus sp. RNE 20. RNAcentral describes it as "bacterial SSU rRNA". It matches the Rfam family "Bacterial small subunit ribosomal RNA", at positions 21 to 1261 of the family's 1533-position model. Lineage: Bacteria; Bacillati; Actinomycetota; Actinomycetes; Micrococcales; Micrococcaceae. The record is from RNAcentral.
UGCUCAGGAUGAACGCUGGCGGCGUGCUUAACACAUGCAAGUCGAACGAUGAAGCCCAGCUUGCUGGGUGGAUUAGUGGCGAACGGGUGAGUAACACGUGAGUAACCUGCCCUUAACUCUGGGAUAAGCCUGGGAAACUAGGUCUAAUACCGGAUAGGAGCGUCCACCGCAUGGUGGGUGUUGGAAAGAUUUAUCGGUUUUGGAUGGACUCGCGGCCUAUCAGCUUGUUGGUGAGGUAAUGGCUCACCAAGGCGACGACGGGUAGCCGGCCUGAGAGGGUGACCGGCCACACUGGGACUGAGACACGGCCCAGACUCCUACGGGAGGCAGCAGUGGGGAAUAUUGCACAAUGGGCGAAAGCCUGAUGCAGCGACGCCGCGUGAGGGAUGACGGCCUUCGGGUUGUAAACCUCUUUCAGUAGGGAAGAAGCGAAAGUGACGGUACCUGCAGAAGAAGCACCGGCUAACUACGUGCCAGCAGCCGCGGUAAUACGUAGGGUGCGAGCGUUAUCCGGAAUUAUUGGGCGUAAAGAGCUCGUAGGCGGUUUGUCGCGUCUGUCGUGAAAGUCCGGGGCUUAACCCCGGAUCUGCGGUGGGUACGGGCAGACUAGAGUGCAGUAGGGGAGACUGGAAUUCCUGGUGUAGCGGUGGAAUGCGCAGAUAUCAGGAGGAACACCGAUGGCGAAGGCAGGUCUCUGGGCUGUAACUGACGCUGAGGAGCGAAAGCAUGGGGAGCGAACAGGAUUAGAUACCCUGGUAGUCCAUGCCGUAAACGUUGGGCACUAGGUGUGGGGACCAUUCCACGGUUUCCGCGCCGCAGCUAACGCAUUAAGUGCCCCGCCUGGGGAGUACGGCCGCAAGGCUAAAACUCAAAGGAAUUGACGGGGGCCCGCACAAGCGGCGGAGCAUGCGGAUUAAUUCGAUGCAACGCGAAGAACCUUACCAAGGCUUGACAUGUUCUCGAUCGCCGUAGAGAUACGGUUUCCCCUUUGGGGCGGGUUCACAGGUGGUGCAUGGUUGUCGUCAGCUCGUGUCGUGAGAUGUUGGGUUAAGUCCCGCAACGAGCGCAACCCUCGUUCCAUGUUGCCAGCACGUAAUGGUGGGGACUCAUGGGAGACUGCCGGGGUCAACUCGGAGGAAGGUGAGGACGACGUCAAAUCAUCAUGCCCCUUAUGUCUUGGGCUUCACGCAUGCUACAAUGGCCGGUACAAUGGGUUGCGACACUGUGAG